UCCGUAGGUGAACCUGCGGAGGGAUCAUUACACAACAAAAUAUGAAGGCCUGGCUUUGCGGCCGGCUGAAAUAUUUUUUUCACCCAUGUCUUUUGCGCACUUGUUGUUUCCUGGGCGGGUUCGCCCGCCACCAGGACCAAACCAUAAACCUUUUUUUUAUGCAGUUGCAAUCAGCGUCAGUAUAAACAAUGUAAUUAUUACAACUUUCAACAACGGAUCUCUUGGUUCUGGCAUCGAUGAAGAACGCAGCGAAAUGCGAUACGUAGUGUGAAUUGCAGAAUUCAGUGAAUCAUCGAAUCUUUGAACGCACAUUGCGCCCUUUGGUAUUCCAAAGGGCAUGCCUGUUCGAGCGUCAUUUGUACCCUCAAGCUUUGCUUGGUGUUGGGCGUUUUUGUCUCCCUCUUUGCUGGGAGACUCGCCUUAAAACGAUUGGCAGCCGGCCUACUGGUUUCGGAGCGCAGCACAUAUUUUGCACUCUGUAUCAGGAGAAAAGGACGGUAAUCCAUCAAGACUCUUACGAUUUUUAACUUUUGACCUCGGAUCAGGUAGGGAUACCCGCUGAACUUAAGCAUAUCAAUAAGCGGAGGA
RNAcentral lists this ribosomal RNA (588 nucleotides) under Bipolaris maydis (southern corn leaf blight pathogen). RNAcentral's name for it is "eukaryotic LSU rRNA". The stretch from base 202 to 355 matches the Rfam family "5.8S ribosomal RNA". Lineage: Eukaryota; Fungi; Ascomycota; Dothideomycetes; Pleosporales; Pleosporaceae. The record is from RNAcentral.